UAAAUGCUUGAAAAAUAAUGCGGGGCUUUUUUGUUGGAUGGAUUUGCGUCCACUUUUAAGGGAAUCGACUUUCGAUAGCGAAAUGUCGUUAUGGAGAGUUAUUAUAAACGAUGUUAAGCUUAACGUCUCGCCUGGAUCUUCGUUUGAAUGUCAAGAGCCAGGGUGGUUCCGAGUUUGUUUUGCAAAUAUGGAUGAUGGAACGGUUGAUAUUGCGCUCGCGAGGAUUCGGAGGUUCGUAGGUGUUGAGAAAAGUGGAGAUAAAUCGAGUUCGAUGGAAAAG
RNAcentral lists this unclassified non-coding RNA (280 nucleotides) under Hevea brasiliensis (rubber tree). The record is from RNAcentral. Lineage: Eukaryota; Viridiplantae; Streptophyta; Magnoliopsida; Malpighiales; Euphorbiaceae.